Long non-coding RNA from Neoarius graeffei (lesser salmon catfish), 2153 nucleotides. RefSeq lists it as uncharacterized. The record is from RefSeq and is a predicted model, not a curated record. The transcript has 3 exons. NCBI's taxonomy places the organism in Eukaryota, Metazoa, Chordata, Actinopteri, Siluriformes, Ariidae.
UUUGGGUGGGGGGGUUGUUUUCAAGUAGAGUUUUUAUUUCAUCCUCAGUUGGUUCAGCAACACGCUCCACCAUUUUCUUCUUCUUCUUCUUUAGGGUUUUUUUGGCAGUUGGAAAACCAACUUAAAGGUGCAUUACUGCCACCAACUGGGCUAGAGUGUGGAACAGUAGAUUUUUUGGGGAAAAAAAACUAUAUUUUUUAGCUAUUUCUGUUUCUUUUAAGUACUUGAUAACAAAGUGACUUGAUGUGUUCCGCCAUAGGGGUGUAAAUAUUAAUCAAUUCGUAUCGAUGCAUCGAUUAUACAGCCGAUGAUUCAGUGCAUCGAUGCGUCCACAAGAGUAUCGAUUAAUGAGUUUAUUUUGCCACCUUUUUGUUCGCCUGUCUAUUUUCAGCAUCCGCGCCAACGUAGGCGUACUACCUACUCCAAAGCUGCGGGUGGCGCUAACCUCAUUAUUGUUGCUAACUUCACUUAUACUUCACAUGCAUUACUUUCGUUUCACACAUUUGAGUGUGACUUUCGAAAGCGAUGGGACCGCAAGAAGGAACAAGCAAUGAAAGUGAAAUGUUGCACACUCCAGUCGGCGUAAAGUCAUGGGUGUGGAAGUAUUUGGGCUUCAGAAAAACAGAUGGAGCAGUGGUAAGAGAUGUUGCCGUUUGCAAAGAGAAAGACUGUCUGUGUGAGAUAAGAUACUGCGGCAAUACAUCAAAUCUAUCCACACACCUGAAAAGGCGCCAUGGUAUUGAUGGCGACUGUCCAGAAAGAACACAGGCUUCCAAGCCUGACACAUCACUGACGACAUAUUUCCCUCAAAAGUUGUUGAGUACUUCAAAAAGAGCAAAAACCAUCACCAAGGCCAUCGCGUUUUUUAUGUGCAAAGAUAUGAGGCCCUAUUGUGUCAUAGAGAACGAAAGCUUUAGAUACCUGCUCAAAGUUCUUGAGCCAAGGUACAGUAUCCCCUUACGGCAACAUUUCAGCGAGUCCUAUAUUCCGAACUUGUACACCAAAGUUCGUGAUGAAGUUAUUCAGGGUCUGAUGAGUGCAGAGCGAGUAGCCAUAACUUCCGAUGGAUGGACUUCAUGUACAACGGAGUCUUACAUCACUGUAACGUGUCAUUUCAUUGACAACAAAUGGCAAAUGAAAAACCAUGUUUUACAGACUCGUGUUUUGGGAGACAUUCAGGAGUUAAUAUCGGGCAGGUUCUGAGAGGUGCGUGUGAAGAGUGGGGUAUAUUGGACAAGGCACUGGCUUUCGUCACCGACAACGCUUCUAACAUGAUCAAAGCUGAUGAAGAGGCAGAGAUGUCACCACACAUAAAGUGCUUCGCACACACACUCAAUCUGAUAACACAAGACGCCCUGAAGACUGCGUCCACAGAAAGGCUUUUAGGGCGCGUGAGAAGAAUUGUGGGGGUUUUUCAGCGCAGUUGCAACCACAGUUUUGAAGGAGAAGCAAAGUUUUCUGGGGCUUCCACGCCACAAGCUCAAAGCAGACGUGAAAACCCAAUGGAAUAGUUCUUUCAAGAUGUUGGAACGAUUUCUUGAACAACAAGCUGCGGUGAUGGCGACACUUCUCAACAAGAAAGUCAGAAAAGGCUCGUGUGACAUGCACACACUCCGUGAAAGUGAUCUCUUGACUACCGAACAAAUGGUGAGUUUGCUAGCUCCGCUAAAGGCUGCUACCACUCUGAUGUGCGAGGAGAAGCAACUCACUGUGUCCAUCAUCUCACCUCUCCGAAUGAAGUUGUUGGCGCAUUUCGAAUCCACACCGGAUGACGCCCCCUUAAUCAAAGACAUGAAACGACUCAUGGCUGAUGAUCUUCGAGAGCGGUAUGUGGACAAGGAACCAUUCUUAAUCCGAGCAGCUGCUUUGGACCCCUGAUUCAAAAAGCUUCCUUUCCUGGGUGAUGAGAGAAGAAACCAAACCUUUGAAUAUCUUGCUGAAGAAGUGGCACAGCUGAAGGAACAGAGGAAUGAGUCAGAGACCCAGCCUGAGGAAACACCUCACUCUUCUCAUGACCCGAUUCCUAUGGAGCUAAAUGAGUUGUGUGAUGCGGAAACCACUGAAGAAUGCCCUCCUGUUUCCAAGAAAUCAAAGGUAUUAGAGGACCUGUUUGACGACUCCUUCUGUACUGAGGACCAAAAUGUCAGAGACAA